AAAAGGUACAGACCCUCACUCCAGAGCAGUUGCUCUUCUUAUCAGUUUCUUCGGCCUCAUCGUGUCUAAGAGCAGUUCCAGUAGCAGUUCCUUUCAGUUUGCCCCCCACUUCCUUCAAACCCAAUUAUCAUAGGCCUUUCUUCUUACAAUGUGAAAAACAGAAAGAGGAGCAGAAAAAUAGAGAACCACGGCUGGGAACAACCACAACGCUCCUUGCCAGCUUCACCAAUUUCCCAGGUUUUCCCCGCUUAAUUUGAUGCAUGCCUUCUUUUUAUCCCUCUUUUACUGUUGUUUUGGUUUCCUCAGAAAAUUUCUCAUUUAAUUGGGUUACUUCCCAGCAUCUCCAAGAAUUAAACACCUAUGAUUUCAACUGAAAGUUUUAGAAGGUGGUAAGCCUAACAGAUCUUUCUUUCUUAUUUGUAUUAUAUUCUUUCUUUGAUUGGGUUUUGAGAUCUUUCACGUUCAGAGAAGGUUUUAGAGGAAAGGUGUUUGUUGAUGAUUUUCCGUAUUUCUCUAUCGUGUAUGUUGAACGGUUCUCAUGGCUUUUGUGUUCAUAUCAGACCCAUGUCCAAAUGAAACGGUAAAUUACAGUGGGUAAGAGAGUUUUGAGAAACUUACUCCUUUUGCUGCAUGCUCACCAUUUAUCGGAUUGAUUUUUAUUUGCUAUAUGAAAUGGUAGGUAUGAAAUUUAAGAUAUGAAUGAAAGUUUGGUUAUUCAACUUAUAUUUGGAUUCUUGAUUAUUCAAGAACAGUUGCUGCAACUCCAAGAAUAGGGUAGGUGUUUACUCGCAUGGUUAAUUCGCAGGAGAAUACUUUGAAGAGAAAACAGAGAGAUGUUGCAACAAGUCUCAUAUUUGUUCCUUGGUCGUUCAUUUUAUGAAAUGGUUAUAUAAAGAAGCAAUCUGUUUAUGUUGUUUUUCUUUUUUUGCCAAUCUGUUUAUGUUUGCUGCAAUGAUUGCAUUUUUGUAAGAAUGAAAAAUAGUUUCAUCCAUAUACAUUACUGCAUUCGAGGAAAUGCAACCCUCUUUUUGUGUAUUGUUGGCUCUUCAUAUAUAAUUGAGAUUUAAACUUGCCAUAACUUAUAGAUUGUCUUAAACUGAUGACAAUGACUACUGUUGCUAUAUUUCUACUAUUAUAUAGAUAUAUAUGUAUAUGUUGUAUAUUGUGGAUAUUGCAACCCCUGCUCACUUGGUUAUGUGGAGCAGUUGGUAGCUGAGAACAUCUCUUUUGGCCAUGACUGUGAUAUGAAACCCAAGCCAGGAAGGUGAACGGGGUGAAAGGGUUCUAAGACGAGGAGGACCGCAUGUAUACAGAUUAUGCUAUGAUUUUUUUCCUUCUAUCUUUUUUUUCUCCUGGGAUUCCUUUGGUAGAAGAAUUAAAAGCAAAAUGAGGAUGAUAGAGAUGGAGGGAGUUCAAGGGGAGGAAAACUGCUAAAGGACUUACUGGCUGUGGCUGUGUUUCUUCUCUUUUUAGAGGUCUUCAAGGGGGGUUCAACUUCCCAAAGUGCAGGAGGCUUGCAGAGGAAUUGAAUCAUAUGUUUGGGUUUGGGGUACAAAAUCGUGAUGUCUAACUAAUUCACCAAUCCUCUCAGGGGAUUCAUUUGCUACAGGAAUUAAAAUAGAGUGGGAGGGAGGAAAAGGGAAGGAAAGGUUUUCCUUUUUUUUUUUCUUCAUUAUACUUCAAGUUUCUUUUGCUACUGGCUUCAUGGAUUAUCAAACCCACGAUAAUUGUUGUGCAGGAGUUAUUGUUCUCUCAUUGUUGUUGUAGAUAGAUCGGCUGCACGUGUGGGUCUUCAACUUCUUUAGGUUUAUCAGCCUUGAAAUUUAGUUAUAUUCAUAAAAAAUUAUGUGUUGUAUUAAAUGUUGUUUGUUUCCUAACAACAAUGGGAUCAAAGAAUUUGUUUGACUACAACAGUUGAAAUGA
Non-coding RNA from Prunus avium (sweet cherry), 1923 nucleotides. The record is from RefSeq and is a predicted model, not a curated record. NCBI's taxonomy places the organism in Eukaryota, Viridiplantae, Streptophyta, Magnoliopsida, Rosales, Rosaceae.